Salmonella enterica subsp. enterica serovar Typhimurium is the source of this 120-nucleotide small RNA. Lineage: Bacteria; Pseudomonadati; Pseudomonadota; Gammaproteobacteria; Enterobacterales; Enterobacteriaceae. The record is from Rfam.
AGUUAUUCACGUAGGGUACAGAGGUAAGAUGUUCUAUCUUUCAGACCUUUUACUUCACGUAAUCGGAUUUGGCUGAAUAUUUUAGCCGCCCCAGUCAGUUUAUGACUGGGGCGUUUUUUA